UCUUACAUUUUCCGUCUAAGAGUGUGCUC
This 29-nucleotide non-coding RNA is filed under the name Mus musculus (house mouse). The record is from RNAcentral. Lineage: Eukaryota; Metazoa; Chordata; Mammalia; Rodentia; Muridae.